This 445-nucleotide ribosomal RNA is filed under the name uncultured bacterium. Its description in RNAcentral is "SSU rRNA". It matches the Rfam family "Bacterial small subunit ribosomal RNA", at positions 26 to 518 of the family's 1533-position model. The record is from RNAcentral.
AGAGUGAACGCUAGCGGUGCGCCUAACACAUGCAAGUCGAAUGUCCGCAAGGACAUGGCAGACGGCUGCGUAACACGUUGGAACCUACCCCGAACUCAGGGAUAACCCUCCGAAAGGAGGAGUAAUACCGGAUACACUCGCAAGAGGAAAGCUUUAGCGGUUUGGGAGGGGCCUGCGGCCUAUCAGUUAGUUGGUGAGGUAACGGCUCACCAAGACGAUGACGGGUAGCUGAUCUGAGAGGAUGAUCAGCCAGAAUGGAACUGCGACACGGUCCAUACUCCUACGGGAGGCAGCAGUGAGGAAUCUUCCGCAAUGGGCGAAAGCCUGACGGAGCGACACCGCGUGGUGGAUGAAGGCCUUUUGGUCGUAAACACCUGUUCUGAGGGACGAAAUUUUUGACGGUACCUCAGGAGAAAGCAUCGGCUAAGCCUGCGCCAGCAGCCGC